AACGAACGCUGGCGGCAGGCUUAACACAUGCAAGUCGAACGAACGUAGCAAUACGUUAGUGGCGCACGGGUGAGUAACACGUGGAUAUCUGCCUUUUGGUUCGGGAUAACCCUGGGAAACUAGGGCUAAUACCGAAUGGUUCCUACGGGAUAAAGAUUUAUCGCCAAAAGAUGAGUCCGCGUCCGAUUAGCUAGUUGGUGGGGUAAUGGCUCACCAAGGCGACGAUCGGUAGCUGGUCUGAGAGGACGAUCAGCCACACUGGGACUGAGACACGGCCCAGACUCCGUACGGGAGGCAGCAGUGGGGAAUAUUGGACAAUGGGGGCAACCCUGAUCCAGCCAUGCUGCGUGAGUGAUGAA
This 359-nucleotide ribosomal RNA is filed under the name uncultured bacterium. RNAcentral describes it as "bacterial SSU rRNA". It matches the Rfam family "Bacterial small subunit ribosomal RNA", at positions 29 to 412 of the family's 1533-position model. The record is from RNAcentral.